This 37-nucleotide transfer RNA is filed under the name Equus sp. RNAcentral's name for it is "partial tRNA-Asp". The record is from RNAcentral. Lineage: Eukaryota; Metazoa; Chordata; Mammalia; Perissodactyla; Equidae.
CAAAGUUAAAUUAUAGGUUAAACCCCUAUAUACCUCU